ACUACAGCGGAGACCACAGUAUAGGAAUAAAAGAUGGGGAGUUCAAAGCCAAUCUCUGUCUUCUUCUUGUGUCUCAUCUUCUUUGCCGCGGCUCUAUCGCCACUGCAGCCCUGCGACGCCAUUCGAAUAACCGAGCGAGGUUUAGCAACUGCGGACACUCCAAUAUGCCCUGCUUGCGUGUGUUGCUCACCUCCACCGCCGGGAUCAUGUUGCGCCUGCUGUGCUACUCCUAUUGAAACUCAGUCCACAACCGGCCCUCCGUGAGAGAUCAACUGUCUACUUCAGACAGUUGCUAAUAAAUAGUAUGAAUAAAGAAGGAGCUGGAAAAUCCGAAUAAGAAUUUGACUAAUGUUGUUCAAGACGUUGUCUUGUGUUGCUUGGAAAUCUGGAAUAAGUGUAAGCAUGAUCACUAAUUUCCUGUUGUCGAGCCAGGGACGUGUUCUUAUGAAGUUGAAUAAUUUCAUGUUCUAUCAUCAAUGAUUUCAUUUGGGCAA
Long non-coding RNA from Eucalyptus grandis, 494 nucleotides. RefSeq lists it as uncharacterized. The transcript is spliced from 2 exons. Lineage: Eukaryota; Viridiplantae; Streptophyta; Magnoliopsida; Myrtales; Myrtaceae. The record is from RefSeq and is a predicted model, not a curated record.